This 310-nucleotide RNase P RNA is filed under the name Flavobacteriaceae bacterium. Its description in RNAcentral is "RNase P RNA component class A". It matches the Rfam family "Bacterial RNase P class A". From Rfam's summary of the family: Ribonuclease P (RNase P) is a ubiquitous endoribonuclease, found in archaea, bacteria and eukarya as well as chloroplasts and mitochondria. Its best characterised activity is the generation of mature 5'-ends of tRNAs by cleaving the 5'-leader elements of precursor-tRNAs. RNAcentral also lists the same sequence under 1 other name. The record is from RNAcentral. Lineage: Bacteria; Pseudomonadati; Bacteroidota; Flavobacteriia; Flavobacteriales; Flavobacteriaceae.
AAAGCAGACCGCCUUAUCGCUGCUCAGUGAUGAGUAGAGGAAAGUCCGAACACCAUAGUGCAGCAUAGUGGCUAACGGCCACCGAUCGCGAGGUCAGGAAAAGUGCAACAGAAAGGAUGUACAGGUAAUGCUGUAGUGAAAUCAGGUAAACUCUAUGCGGUGCAAUGCCAUGUAUACCGGUGUUUGAGUGCUGCACGCACGAUAUCGGAGGGUAGGCAGCUAAAGUGUCAUGGCAACAUGACACUCAGAUAAAUGAUAAGGGUUUCAUGAAUUUGAAAUACAGAAUUCGGCUUACAGGUCUGCUUUUUUU